Molecule: ribosomal RNA, 405 nt
Filed under: uncultured bacterium
Lineage: Bacteria
Description: bacterial SSU rRNA
Rfam family: Bacterial small subunit ribosomal RNA
Source: RNAcentral
AUUGAACGCUGGCGGCAGGCCUAACACAUGCAAGUCGAGCGGAUGAAAGGGGCUUGCUCCUGGAUUCAGCGGCGGACGGGUGAGUAAUGCGCAGGAAUCUACCUCGUAGUGGGGGAUAACGUCUCGAAAGGGGCGCUAAUACCGCAUACGUUCUGAGGAAGAAAGCAGGGGACCUUCGGGCCUUGCGCUAUGAGAUGAGCUUGCGUCCGAUUAGCUAGUUGGUGGGGUAAAGGCCUACCAAGGCGACGAUCGGUAACUGGUCUGAGAGGAUGAUCAGUCACACUGGAACUGAGACACGGUCCAGACUCCUACGGGGAGGCAGCAGUGGGGAAUAUUGGACAAUGGGGGCAACCCUGAUCCAGCCAUGCCGCGUGUGUGAAGAAGGCCUUCGGUUGGUUAAAGGAC